RNA transcript from Triplophysa rosa, 3382 nucleotides. RefSeq lists it as uncharacterized. The record is from RefSeq and is a predicted model, not a curated record. Lineage: Eukaryota; Metazoa; Chordata; Actinopteri; Cypriniformes; Nemacheilidae. The transcript is spliced from 5 exons.
AAACAGUAUAUUGCAAAUGGUGACAUUUCAGCCAAAUUGAAAAAAACUCAGUCUGUCAGUUUAUAACAAUGAAAGUGAUUUUAUGUGCAUUCCCAUUGUUCUAAAACACAUUUAGUCAAAUCUUACUCCCUUGACAACAGUUCCUCCCAAACAUGUAGCAUGUUUGUCAAUCAGUUUCGGUUUCCCAGCUAUUCAUCUUAAGUUGGGGCGUGUCUUGCAAAGAACACUGCAGUAGUAGUAAUUUACCAACAUAAAUGAAAGUAUAGAAUAGGAAAUAAUAUGCAUACAAAUAAUCAAAAAAUUAAAUAUUUAAAAAUAAGUGUGUGAAAAUUAUAUUAAUAAGAAAUGCAACACAUUUUCUGUGUGUGACUGGUGUCUGUUCACAAUUACAUUCAUUUAUUGCUGUUAGAGUCUUUGCUCCUCCUACUAACAAGAAAACAUGAAAAUCAGAGUGUCCUGGUUAGUUUGCCCUCUCUGGUUACUUACAGUACAUCUUAUAUCUUACUUGCUUGAGAUCACCUCAGUACAGAUUUACAGCUCAACAUUUCAUCUCUCUGCUGGAACUGUGUAAAGGAUUGUCAUAAACAUGGUGAGAACACUGAAUGAAUUGUCUCAGCUGAAAGAAACCAACUUUGGUCAACCGGAUCCCAGACAUGGUCUCAGAUUGCUGUGGUGGUUUGCCGAUGAAUGUGUUGACUUUAAUGUCAAUGGCUAUAUGAUUGCACGGUACAACCCAGCAUAUGGACAUUUUGGCUUCCGUCGAUUCUAUAACAGAAUUGAAGAUGAUGAAGACAGACUUCUUCCUAACAAUAACUUACUAUACUAUGAGGUGGGAAACCUGAGCUUUGGCUCACUACCUAAAUAUGUCACUGCGAAUUACAAUAGAAACCAUGCCGACAGCAACGCAGAUCGCAUUAUUGUUGGCUUCCAACAAAAUCCACCCAGCUUUGACAGGAUUUAUGUCACUCAGCAUUCAGAUCAGCUGAAUUUAAAUACAAAUAGCACUUAUCGAAUCAGCCAUGGUCUUAUAAAGACCAUUAAAAGCCUGAGACUGGAGGAAUUCCUUAGGCGAACAAAGAAUGACCGCCCUGUAGGACUGAUUUUCCAACCCCAAUACAAUCGGGUUCAUUCAACACAUCUGCAAUCCAGACAGACUGGAUCACAGCACACACCAUACCAAGCCACUGAUAAUUCAACAUGCAUGUGCAUUGGCUUGCUGAUUUUGCUGAUUAUAAUUCUAGCGUUGUUCAUUUUUAUUUAUGUUAAUAUGAAAACAGUUGUUUAAAAACAAUGGUUUUAGAUUUUCUCUUGUUCUUUACCUUGAGAAAUUUUUCACUUCUGUGGUCUAUCAUUGUAAGUUCCAAAGAGGUUCAAUAAAUCCAAUUGUCUUUCUGAACAUGCAUAAAAUAAGGUGCGUGAGCAGGAUUUUGUGAUAUAAUUCUAGCCUGAUUUACUUCAUGCUUUAGGAUGUCAAUAAACUUAUUUGUUAUAGACCAUAAACAAUUUGCUUUAUUUUUGUUUAAAGUUGGUGUUGAUUUUGAAGACAAAACAAAACUGUUGUUCCAUUAGAGUUAGUAUUGUCUAGAUUACUCACAACAGUUAAAAGUGUAGCGUGUGCAAACACAUACAAAACCUUAAAACUUCACACAAAACGUCAUCACAAACUUAUUAAGUUUAUAGCUUGUAAUGUCCUUUCUACAUUAAAUGUAUUAAUGCAAUAGUCUAUUAAAGUUAUGUCAUCAUUUACUCACCUCAUGUUAAUCAAAACCUGUAUGACAGCUUUUGUGGAACCCCCGUCAAAUGGGAAAAUAAAUUACAUAUUUAUCUUUUUUAUAAAGAAAAUCAUAUAGGUUUGAAACGUGGGUGAGUAGGCCUAAAUGACCAUCCCAUUAAUAAGAAUAUUAAUAAACCCUAAGUACAAUUUAUCUGAAUAUCAGAAUGUUGAGUGUGACGUAUUAGCAAAUCACAAAAAACGCAAAUGUUUUUGAAGCAGGUGCAAAUCAGUUUCAAACUAAGGUAGGGAAUUAGGCUAAAAGAAAGACAGCGAUUUAAAGACAUCUUUAAACCAAUCUUAAGACAAUCUUAUUAAACUCGCUUUACAAUAAUGAGUUUGUUGUUAUUCCCUCUCGAUAAUAAUAAAACACAGGAGAAUGUUGCGCUUUCCUGUACGCAUUUAGUUUCUAUUUCCAGACUCCACUCCGCCCAGUAACAAUCCAAUAGACUAAUACCAGAAGGUGAUGCCUACAGAUCCAGCUCAUAUAAUCAGGGAAAUAGUGCAUUUUAACUUGUUUAUUGUCUUUAAUUCCUCCAGUAAAUGUAUGCUUAGGAAAAUCGUACCUUUACAAAUUCCAUCUCCGUGAUUAAAUUAGUUAAUCAUGAACUUUUGCAUUAUGAAACUAAGGGGCGUAAUUUCCACUGGGGGGGACAUGUCCCCUCCACUUGAGCAGUCUGCCUGUGUCGAUGCGGGUGUCGCGUGCACACUAAAAAUAGCUCAAUGAAAUGUUGUUUUCAAUCACGUGGACGGCAGCAAGUGAUUUUCUCCAUAGUAAUUCACUGUGACAAACUCAAAGUACUUAUGUAUAACGACCUGAACAACGACCAGGUAAGCCCAAAUUCUUGUCAAACCUUACUUGUAAUAAACACUAAGUUAAGCUGUUUUCUCGAUCGGACUCGUUCUUUUAACAGCAGCUACAGAAAUGUCGCUUCCUUGGUCGUUGUUUAGGUACGUUAAACCUCGUUAAGCGUUUUAGAAAGUCGUCCGGCUCGUCUCCUCCCGACCGCAGAUUCAGGUUUACAAGCCAUUUUUUCCUCCGUUUCUCAGUCAAUACUCGCAUUUUCCCCCUUCAUAAACAUCAACUUUUGCUACACAAUAAAAACAUAGUGUGGUUUCAUGGUUUUAUCAAUUUAAACAAUCAAAAACAAUGCAAAACAUAGAUAUUUUGAGUUUGUGAUGGUGAUGGUGAAUUCCCUAUGGAGAAAUCACUUGCUGCUCUCUAUCUGCACUUCGCUCACUUCAUGCAGAAAAUCCAUUAUUUCGUGCAUUUUGUAUCACCAUAGUACCCAAACGUAUGUAAAUGCAGGAAAUGGGAUUCAAAUCAAAAACAUUUUCCCCCAUUUUGUGUCCCCCCCACUUCUCAAACCAUAGUUACACCCCUGAUGAAACUUAUCGGGAAAUCGACAAAUAUUUUGUGUCGAAGACUUUUGGCUUGUCUUUGUUUGAAAAGCAGUUGUCAGAAACAUGGUGGGAACCUUGGCCAAUUUAUCCGAGCUGAGAAAAUCCAGAAAUGGCAGGAUGUUUACGCGGUACAACCCGGAAGACGGAUCUUUCGGCUUUCACAAAUUUCAUAAUCUAGAAGGACUUCUUCCACAUACUGAUCUGACA